RNAcentral lists this ribosomal RNA (492 nucleotides) under uncultured bacterium. Its description in RNAcentral is "partial 16S ribosomal RNA". It matches the Rfam family "Bacterial small subunit ribosomal RNA", at positions 29 to 507 of the family's 1533-position model. The record is from RNAcentral.
AGUGAACGCUGGCGGUAGGCCUAACACAUGCAAGUCGAACGGCAGCACAGUAAGAGCUUGCUCUUACGGGUGGCGAGUGGCGGACGGGUGAGGAAUACAUAGGAAUCUACUUUUUCGUGGGGGACAACGUAGGGCAACUUACGCUAAUACCGCAUACGACCUACGGGUGAAAGCAGGAGAUCUUCGGACCUUGCGCGAUAGAAUGAGCCGAUGUCGGAUUAGCUAGUUGGCGGGGUAAAGGCCCACCAAGGCGACGAUCCGUAGCUGGUCUGAGAGGAUGAUCAGCCACACUGGAACUGAGACACGGUCCAGACUCCUACGGGAGGCAGCAGUGGGGAAUAUUGGACAAUGGGCGCAAGCCUGAUCCAGCCAUACCGCGUGGGUGAAGAAGGCCUUCGGGUUGUAAAGCCCUUUUGUUCGGAAAGAAUAUCAGCAGGUUAAUACCCCGCUGUUCUGACGGUACCCAAAGAAUAAGCAACGGCUAACUUCGUG